AUACUCCUACGGGAGGCAGCAGUGGGGAAUAUUGGACAAUGGGCGCAAGCCUGAUCCAGCCAUGCCGCGUGAGUGAUGAAGGCCUUCGGGUUGUAAACUGCUUUUAUGAGUGAAGAAUAUGACGGUAACUCAUGAAUAAGGGUCGGCUAACUACGUGCCAGCAGCCGCGGUA
This 172-nucleotide ribosomal RNA is filed under the name uncultured bacterium. RNAcentral describes it as "partial 16S ribosomal RNA". It matches the Rfam family "Bacterial small subunit ribosomal RNA", at positions 333 to 522 of the family's 1533-position model. The record is from RNAcentral.